RNAcentral lists this ribosomal RNA (279 nucleotides) under uncultured bacterium. Its description in RNAcentral is "partial 16S ribosomal RNA". It matches the Rfam family "Bacterial small subunit ribosomal RNA", at positions 75 to 353 of the family's 1533-position model. The record is from RNAcentral.
UUGCUAAGGCCGAUGGCGACCGGCGCACGGGUGAGUAACACGUAUCCAACCUGCCGAUAACUCGGGGAGUAGCCUUUCGAAAGAAAGAUUAAUACCCGAUGGCAUAAUAGAACCGCAUGGUUUGAUUAUUAAAGAAUUUCGGUUAUCGAUGGGGAUGCGUUCCAUUAGGCAGUUGGUGGGGUAACGGCCCACCAAACCUUCGAUGGAUAGGGGUUCUGAGAGGAAGGUCCCCCACAUUGGAACUGAGACACGGUCCAAACUCCUACGGGAGGCAGCAUG